RNAcentral lists this ribosomal RNA (427 nucleotides) under uncultured bacterium. RNAcentral's name for it is "partial 16S ribosomal RNA". It matches the Rfam family "Bacterial small subunit ribosomal RNA", at positions 355 to 774 of the family's 1533-position model. The record is from RNAcentral.
UGGGGAAUAUUGGACAAUGGGCGAAAGCCUGAUCCAGCCAUGCCGCGUGUGUGAAGAAGGUCUUCGGAUUGUAAAGCACUUUAAGUUGGGAGGAAGGGCAUUAACCUAAUACGUUAGUGUUUUGACGUUACCGACAGAAUAAGCACCGGCUAACUCUGUGCCAGCAGCCGCGGUAAUACAGAGGGUGCAAGCGUUAAUCGGAAUUACUGGGCGUAAAGCGCGCGUAGGUGGUUUGUUAAGUUGGAUGUGAAAUCCCCGGGCUCUACCUGGGAACUGCAUUCAAAACUGACUGACUAGAGUAUGGUAGAUGGUGGUGGAAUUUCCUGUUUAGCGGUGAAAUGCGUAGAUAUAGGAAGGAACACCAGUGGCGAAGGCGACCACCUGGACUAAUACUGACACUGAGGUGCGAAAGCGUGGGGAGCAAACA